Molecule: ribosomal RNA, 2900 nt
Filed under: Klebsiella pneumoniae BWH 46
Lineage: Bacteria; Pseudomonadati; Pseudomonadota; Gammaproteobacteria; Enterobacterales; Enterobacteriaceae
Description: bacterial LSU rRNA
Rfam family: Bacterial large subunit ribosomal RNA
Source: RNAcentral
UUAAGCGACUAAGCGUACACGGUGGAUGCCCUGGCAGUCAGAGGCGAUGAAGGACGUGCUAAUCUGCGAAAAGCGUCGGUAAGGUGAUAUGAACCGUUAUAACCGGCGAUGUCCGAAUGGGGAAACCCAGUGCAAUUCGUUGCACUAUCGUUAACUGAAUACAUAGGUUAACGAGGCGAACCGGGGGAACUGAAACAUCUAAGUACCCCGAGGAAAAGAAAUCAACCGAGAUUCCCCCAGUAGCGGCGAGCGAACGGGGAGCAGCCCAGAGUCUGAAUCAGCUUGUGUGUUAGUGGAACGGUCUGGAAAGUCCGACGGUACAGGGUGAUAGUCCCGUACACCAAAAUGCACAGGCUGUGAACUCGAAGAGUAGGGCGGGACACGUGGUAUCCUGUCUGAAUAUGGGGGGACCAUCCUCCAAGGCUAAAUACUCCUGACUGACCGAUAGUGAACCAGUACCGUGAGGGAAAGGCGAAAAGAACCCCGGCGAGGGGAGUGAAAAAGAACCUGAAACCGUGUACGUACAAGCAGUGGGAGCACCUUCGGGUGUGACUGCGUACCUUUUGUAUAAUGGGUCAGCGACUUAUAUUCUGUAGCAAGGUUAACCGUAUAGGGGAGCCGCAGGGAAACCGAGUCUUAACUGGGCGUUAAGUUGCAGGGUAUAGACCCGAAACCCGGUGAUCUAGCCAUGGGCAGGUUGAAGGUUGGGUAACACUAACUGGAGGACCGAACCGACUAAUGUUGAAAAAUUAGCGGAUGACUUGUGGCUGGGGGUGAAAGGCCAAUCAAACCGGGAGAUAGCUGGUUCUCCCCGAAAGCUAUUUAGGUAGCGCCUCGUGAACUCAUCUUCGGGGGUAGAGCACUGUUUCGGCUAGGGGGUCAUCCCGACUUACCAACCCGAUGCAAACUACGAAUACCGAAGAAUGUUAUCACGGGAGACACACGGCGGGUGCUAACGUCCGUCGUGAAGAGGGAAACAACCCAGACCGCCAGCUAAGGUCCCAAAGUCAUGGUUAAGUGGGAAACGAUGUGGGAAGGCACAGACAGCCAGGAUGUUGGCUUAGAAGCAGCCAUCAUUUAAAGAAAGCGUAAUAGCUCACUGGUCGAGUCGGCCUGCGCGGAAGAUGUAACGGGGCUAAACCAUGCACCGAAGCUGCGGCAGCGACACUAUGUGUUGUUGGGUAGGGGAGCGUUCUGUAAGCCUGCGAAGGUGUGCUGUGAGGCAUGCUGGAGGUAUCAGAAGUGCGAAUGCUGACAUAAGUAACGAUAAAGCGGGUGAAAAGCCCGCUCGCCGGAAGACCAAGGGUUCCUGUCCAACGUUAAUCGGGGCAGGGUGAGUCGACCCCUAAGGCGAGGCCGAAAGGCGUAGUCGAUGGGAAACAGGUUAAUAUUCCUGUACUUGGUGUUACUGCGAAGGGGGGACGGAGAAGGCUAUGUUAGCCGGGCGACGGUUGUCCCGGUUUAAGCAUGUAGGCUGGUUGUCCAGGCAAAUCCGGAUAAUCAAGGCUGAGGUGUGAUGACGAGGCACUACGGUGCUGAAGUAACAAAUGCCCUGCUUCCAGGAAAAGCCUCUAAGCAUCAGGUAACAUUAAAUCGUACCCCAAACCGACACAGGUGGUCAGGUAGAGAAUACCAAGGCGCUUGAGAGAACUCGGGUGAAGGAACUAGGCAAAAUGGUGCCGUAACUUCGGGAGAAGGCACGCUGGUGUGUAGGUGAAGCCCCUGCGGGUGGAGCUGAGACCAGUCGAAGAUACCAGCUGGCUGCAACUGUUUAUUAAAAACACAGCACUGUGCAAACACGAAAGUGGACGUAUACGGUGUGACGCCUGCCCGGUGCCGGAAGGUUAAUUGAUGGGGUUAUCCGUAAGGAGAAGCUCUUGAUCGAAGCCCCGGUAAACGGCGGCCGUAACUAUAACGGUCCUAAGGUAGCGAAAUUCCUUGUCGGGUAAGUUCCGACCUGCACGAAUGGCGUAAUGAUGGCCAGGCUGUCUCCACCCGAGACUCAGUGAAAUUGAACUCGCUGUGAAGAUGCAGUGUACCCGCGGCAAGACGGAAAGACCCCGUGAACCUUUACUAUAGCUUGACACUGAACAUUGAGCCUUGAUGUGUAGGAUAGGUGGGAGGCUUUGAAGCGUGGACGCCAGUCUGCGUGGAGCCAACCUUGAAAUACCACCCUUUAAUGUUUGAUGUUCUAACGUUGGCCCCUGACCGGGGUUGCGGACAGUGUCUGGUGGGUAGUUUGACUGGGGCGGUCUCCUCCCAAAGCGUAACGGAGGAGCACGAAGGUUAGCUAAUCCUGGUCGGACAUCAGGAGGUUAGUGCAAUGGCAUAAGCUAGCUUGACUGCGAGCGUGACGGCGCGAGCAGGUGCGAAAGCAGGUCAUAGUGAUCCGGUGGUUCUGAAUGGAAGGGCCAUCGCUCAACGGAUAAAAGGUACUCCGGGGAUAACAGGCUGAUACCGCCCAAGAGUUCAUAUCGACGGCGGUGUUUGGCACCUCGAUGUCGGCUCAUCACAUCCUGGGGCUGAAGUAGGUCCCAAGGGUAUGGCUGUUCGCCAUUUAAAGUGGUACGCGAGCUGGGUUUAGAACGUCGUGAGACAGUUCGGUCCCUAUCUGCCGUGGGCGCUGGAGAAUUGAGGGGGGCUGCUCCUAGUACGAGAGGACCGGAGUGGACGCAUCACUGGUGUUCGGGUUGUCAUGCCAAUGGCACUGCCCGGUAGCUAAAUGCGGAAGAGAUAAGUGCUGAAAGCAUCUAAGCACGAAACUUGCCCCGAGAUGAGUUCUCCCUGAGACUUUAAGUCUCCUGAAGGAACGUUGAAGACGACGACGUUGAUAGGCCGGGUGUGUAAGCGCAGCGAUGCGUUGAGCUAACCGGUACUAAUGAACCGUGAGGCUUAACCUU